AGUCUUUGUAUUGCCCAUUUGCUUUUGGAAACUUGUGAAUGUGAUGUCAGAAUAUGCAUAAAUAAAUAUCUUACAGACUUUUCCUGGCCUUGUAUUUGAUAUAUUUAGUGCAGGAACUGCAUACUAACAACU
Molecule: small nucleolar RNA, 132 nt
Organism: Heterocephalus glaber (naked mole-rat)
Lineage: Eukaryota; Metazoa; Chordata; Mammalia; Rodentia; Bathyergidae
Source: Ensembl